This 407-nucleotide ribosomal RNA is filed under the name Verrucomicrobiota bacterium. RNAcentral describes it as "Verrucomicrobia bacterium partial 16S ribosomal RNA". It matches the Rfam family "Bacterial small subunit ribosomal RNA", at positions 355 to 776 of the family's 1533-position model. Lineage: Bacteria; Pseudomonadati; Verrucomicrobiota. The record is from RNAcentral.
UGGGGAAUAUUGGACAAUGGAGGAAACUCUGAUCCAGCAAUUCUAUGUGUGUGAAGAAGGUUUUAGGACUGUAAAACACUUUUAGUAGGGAAGAAAAAAAUGACGGUACCUACAGAAGAAGCAACGGCUAAAUACGUGCCAGCAGCCGCGGUAAUACGUAUGUUGCGAGCGUUAUCCGGAAUUAUUGGGCUUAAAGGGCAUCUAGGCGGUAAGACAAGUUGAAGGUGAAAACCUGUGGCUCAACCAUAGGCUUGCCUACAAAACUGUUGAACUAGAGUACUGGAAAGGUGGGUGGAACUACACGAGUAGAGGUGAAAUUCGUAGAUAUGUGUAGGAAUGCCGAUGAUGAAGAUAACUCACUGGACAGAAACUGACGCUGAAGUGCGAAAGCUAGGGGAGCAAACAGG